RNAcentral lists this long non-coding RNA (614 nucleotides) under Sus scrofa (pig). RNAcentral's name for it is "lncRNA (ENSSSCG00015027939.1)". The record is from RNAcentral. Lineage: Eukaryota; Metazoa; Chordata; Mammalia; Artiodactyla; Suidae.
CCAAGGGCAGGAGGCACAGGGACAAUGUCCCGUUUGCCUGGGGCAGGGGCUCCAGGGGUUAAUGGUGCAGCAUGAAAAUGGUCCAGGCAUCAGUUACCCACCAGAGGGGCCCAAAGGUAGCGGAGAGCUCAGCCCCGCCGGAUGCUCAGCCCGAGAGCCAGCCAGGCUGCAAUCCUGACAUUCUGCUUCCUCAGCCUGGACGGUCCGGAGAGGCAACACCAGGUCAACGCCGACAGGUGCGACCAGGAAGAGGUUUCAACUCCACUCGGAAACCCUCUGGCAUCGGGAUGCUUUGUGGAUUUUAUGUUGUCAGCUCUGCCCGGCAGCAAAAGGAUGUGUGUUGCCAGGUGGCUGGGAGGCAGGGGAGCAUCUGGAACCUGUCCCCUGUGGGNGAUGCUUUGUGGAUUUUAUGUUGUCAGCUCUGCCCGGCAGCAAAAGGAUGUGUGUUGCCAGGUGGCUGGGAGGCAGGGGAUGGAUGGGCCCAGGCUGAGCAUCUGGAACCUGUCCCCUGUGGACAGAGUCUUCGAGGUAACGGAAAUGGUGGGACCAGGAGGAACCGGCCCCACGUGGAUGAAAGACAAAGAGACCACGUGUCUCUUGUCGCUGAGGUCAAG